GAGGCUUGACUGCCGCAGUGCGCGCCCCGCACCCCCGCGCGGGCCCGUGCGCCCCGAGGGCGGUGCACGCGCGCGCGCAGCCCGGGGCUAUAAAAGGCUCGCCGCCUGCGGCCAGGAGAGCUUGCCGUCGCCGAGAAGCCAGCUCCUCUCGACAUGGACCCCGAGACCUGCCCCUGCCCGACUGGCGGCACCUGUACCUGUACGGAUUCCUGCAAGUGUGAGGGAUGCAAAUGCACAUCCUGCAAGAAGAGUUGCUGCUCCUGCUGCCCGGCCGAGUGUGAGAAAUGCGCCCAGGACUGUGUGUGCAAAGGCUCAGAGGGCUCCAAGGCGGAGGCGGAGAAAUGCAGCUGCUGCCAAUGAGAGGCCCCGGGGGCCGGGGGUGAACAGCGCUGGGCCCCCCCGCACCGUAGGCCAGUGACAAUAAAUCCUGCGAAUGGCA
Molecule: long non-coding RNA, 439 nt
Organism: Sorex fumeus (smoky shrew)
Lineage: Eukaryota; Metazoa; Chordata; Mammalia; Eulipotyphla; Soricidae
Exons: 3
Source: RefSeq, a predicted model, not a curated record